UAGGGAAUUUUCGUCAAUGGGGGGAACCCUGAACGAGCAAUGCCGCGUGUGUGAAGAAGGUCUUCGGAUCGUAAAGCACUGUUGUAAGUGAAGAAUGCCACAUAGAGGAAAUGCUAUGUGGGUGACGGUAGCUUACCAGAAAGCCACGGCUAACUACGUGCCAGCAGCCGCGGUAAUACGUAGGUGGCAAGCGUUAUCCGGAAUCAUUGGGCGUAAAGGGUGCGUAGGUGGCACGAUAAGUCUGAAGUAAAAGGCAACAGCUCAACUGUUGUAUGCUUUGGAAACUGUCGAGCUAGAGUGCAGAAGAGGGCGAUGGAAUUCCAUGUGUAGCGGUAAAAUGCGUAGAUAUAUGGAGGAACACCAGUGGCGAAGGCGGUCGCCUGGUCUGUAACUGACACUGAUGCAUGAAAGCGUGGGGAGCAAAUAGGAUUAGAUACC
RNAcentral lists this ribosomal RNA (438 nucleotides) under uncultured bacterium. Its description in RNAcentral is "bacterial SSU rRNA". It matches the Rfam family "Bacterial small subunit ribosomal RNA", at positions 355 to 786 of the family's 1533-position model. The record is from RNAcentral.